This 678-nucleotide long non-coding RNA is filed under the name Malus domestica (apple). RNAcentral describes it as "long non-coding RNA (MDOM_LNC004283)". Lineage: Eukaryota; Viridiplantae; Streptophyta; Magnoliopsida; Rosales; Rosaceae. The record is from RNAcentral.
UAGUCUCUCUCACAUUGCCUUCAGAAACUUCAGCUAACUACCCUUACUCAUCUCCACCACCACCGGCUUCUCCUCCCUACCACUACAAGUCACCACCACCUCCUUCUCCUUCUCCUCCAGUGUACUCACCACCUAAGCAUCCCUACCACCCCAAGUCACCACCACCAUCACCAAAGCCUUACCACUACAAGUCCCCACCACCACCUCCUCCUCCAGUGCACUCACCACCCCCACCAAAGGAGCCUUACCACUACAAGUCUCCACCACCACCACCCAAGAAACCUCACCAUCACAAGUCUCCUCCACCACCACCCAGGAAGCCCUACCACCCGGUGCACUCACCCCCACCACCAAAGAAGCCUUACCAUUACAAGUCUCCUCCACCACCACCCAAGAAGCCCUACCACCCGGUGCACUCACCCCCACCACCAAAGAAGCCUUACCAUUACAAGUCUCCUCCACCACCACCCAAGAAGCCCUACCACCCGGUGCACUCCCCACCACCACCAAAGAAGCCUUACCAUUACAAGUCUCCUCCACCACCACCCAAGAAGCCCUACCACCCGGUGCACUCACCCCCACCACCAAAGAAGCCUUACCAUUACCAAUCCCCACCACCACCACCACCACACAAGAAGCCUCACCACCCAGUUCACUCACCACCUCCACCUAAGAAGC